This 784-nucleotide non-coding RNA is filed under the name Andrena flavipes. Lineage: Eukaryota; Metazoa; Arthropoda; Insecta; Hymenoptera; Andrenidae. The record is from RNAcentral.
ACUUAAUUUAAUUUCAGUUAACCGGUUAAUUGAAUUAAUUGAUCUAUAAAUUUAGUUUUUAAAUGGUGUUUAUUUAUAUAGUGAAUUACAUAUUUGGUUAAAUGGUGUAGAGAUUUAUUUUAAAAAUGAAUGAAAGUUUGAUUUAGUGAUUAAAUUUAACAAAGGUAAUUUUGAGUGCCAGCAACAGCGGUUAGACUCAAUUUGUAAGUUAAUCUAUUUAAUUUUUGGGUUGGUGUGUAUUAUGAAGUAUUUAAUUAAAUUUGUUGAGAUAUAGUGAAAUGUUUUUAAUUAAAUAUAUUAAAUUUUAUUUGACUAAUAUUUGUUAAAUUUUUAAAAAGACUAGGAUUAGAUACCCUAUUAUAGAAAUGAUUUAAGUUGAAUUGAUUAUUAAAUGUAAAUCAUUAAAAUUAACAAAUAUGGCGGCUUUAUAAUUUAUUUAGAGGAAUUUGUGUAUUAAUUGAUGAGCCACAAUAGGAAGGACUAUAAAUUUAUUAACUUUGUGUAUUGCUGUUUGAAGAGUUUAUUAAGAUAUUAUUCUUGCUGUAUUUAAUUGAAUAACAAUUCAAGUCAAAAUGCGGGAUUUUAUAGGUUGCAUGAAUUACACUGAAUUUGAUUUUUGGAUGAAUUAUUUUAAUAUAGUUUUGAAAUUGGAUUUAAAAGUAAAUUUAUUGAAUUAAAUUUGUUGAAGAUAAUUUUAUUUAGUGUACAAAUUGCCCGUCAUUCUCAUUAUAAGUGAGGAAAGUCGUAACAUAGUAAAUGUACUGGAAAGUGUAUUUUUUGGAAA